Molecule: ribosomal RNA, 504 nt
Filed under: uncultured bacterium
Lineage: Bacteria
Description: partial 16S ribosomal RNA
Rfam family: Bacterial small subunit ribosomal RNA
Source: RNAcentral
AUUGAACGCUGGCGGCAGGCCUAACACAUGCAAGUCGAACGGUAGCACAGAGAGCUUGCUCUCGGGUGACGAGUGGCGGACGGGUGAGUAAUGUCUGGGAAACUGCCCGAUGGAGGGGGAUAACUACUGGAAACGGUAGCUAAUACCGCAUAACGUCGCAAGACCAAAGUGGGGGACCUUCGGGCCUCACACCAUCGGAUGUGCCCAGAUGGGAUGAGCUAGUAGGUGGGGUAAUGGCUCACCUAGGCGACGAUCCCUAGCUGGUCUGAGAGGAUGACCAGCCACACUGGAACUGAGACACGGUCCAGACUCCUACGGGAGGCAGCAGUGGGGAAUAUUGCACAAUGGGCGCAAGCCUGAUGCAGCCAUGCCGCGUGCAUGAAGAAGGCCUUCGGGUUGUAAAGUACUUUCAGCGGGGAGGAAGGCGGUGAAGUUAAUAACUUCACCGAUUGACGUUACCCGCAGAAGAAGCACCGGCUAACUCCGUGCCAGCAGCCGCCGUAA